GAUGAACGCUGGCGGCGUGCCUAAUACAUGCAAGUCGAGCGAACAGACGAGGAGCUUGCUCCUCUGACGUUAGCGGCGGACGGGUGAGUAACACGUGGAUAACCUACCUAUAAGACUGGGAUAACUUCGGGAAACCGGAGCUAAUACCGGAUAAUAUAUUGAACCGCAUGGUUCAAUAGUGAAAGACGGUUUUGCUGUCACUUAUAGAUGGAUCCGCGCCGCGUUAGCUAGUUGGUAAGGUAACGGCUUACCAAGGCGACGAUGCGUAGCCGACCUGAGAGAGUGAUCGGCCCCACUGGAACUGAGACACGGUCCAGACUCCUACGGGGAGCAGCAGUAGGGAAUCUUCCGCAAUGGGCGAAAGCCUGACGGAGCAACGCCGCGUGAGUGAUGAAGGUCUUCGGAUCGUAAAACUCUGUUAUUAGGGAAGAACAAAUGUGUAAGUAACUAUGCACGUCUUGACGGUACCUAAUCAGAAAGCCACGGCUAACUACGUG
Molecule: ribosomal RNA, 497 nt
Filed under: uncultured bacterium
Lineage: Bacteria
Description: partial 16S ribosomal RNA
Rfam family: Bacterial small subunit ribosomal RNA
Source: RNAcentral